RNAcentral lists this non-coding RNA (54 nucleotides) under Marmota monax (woodchuck). It matches the Rfam family "Editing element of GABA-3 exon 9". Lineage: Eukaryota; Metazoa; Chordata; Mammalia; Rodentia; Sciuridae. The record is from RNAcentral.
AAAGUGGCCUAUGCCACUGCCAUGGACUGGUUCAUUGCUGUGUGCUACGCAUUC